RNAcentral lists this ribosomal RNA (294 nucleotides) under uncultured microorganism. Its description in RNAcentral is "partial 16S ribosomal RNA". It matches the Rfam family "Bacterial small subunit ribosomal RNA", at positions 505 to 796 of the family's 1533-position model. The record is from RNAcentral.
GUGCCAGCAGCCGCGGUUAAUACGUAGGUGGCGAGCGUUGUCCGGGAUUUACUGGGCGUAAAGAGUGCGUAGGCGGAUGUUUAAGUGAGAUGUGAAAUACCCGAGCUCAACUUGGGUGCUGCAUUUCAAACUGGGCAUCUAGAGUGCAGGAGAGGAAAGCGGAAUUCCUAGUGUAGCGGUGAAAUGCGUAGAGAUUAGGAAGAACACCAGUGGCGAAGGCGGCUUUCUGGACUGUAACUGACGCUGAGGCACGAAAGCGUGGGGAGCAAACAGGAUUAGAUACCCUGGUAGUCC